GACGAACGCUGGCGGCGUGCUUAACACAUGCAAGUCGAACGGAAAGGCCCUGCUUGCCGGGUACUCGAGUGGCGAACGGGUGAGUAACACGUGGGUGAUCUGCCCUGCACUUCGGGAUAAGCCUGGGAAACUGGGUCUAAUACCGGAUAGGAGCCAUUUUUAGUGUGAUGGUUGGAAAGUUUUUUCGGUGUAGGAUGAGCUCGCGGCCUAUCAGCUUGUUGGUGGGGUAAUGGCCUACCAAGGCGGCGACGGGUAGCCGGCCUGAGAGGGUGGACGGCCACAUUGGGACUGAGAUACGGCCCAGACUCCUACGGGAGGCAGCAGUGGGGAAUAUUGCACAAGGGGCGCAAGCCUGAUGCAGCGACGCCGCGUGGGGGAGGACGGCCUUCGGGUUGUAAACUCCUUUCGCUAGGGACGAAGCUUUUUGUGACGGUACCUAGAUAAGAAGCACCGGCUAACUACGUG
RNAcentral lists this ribosomal RNA (465 nucleotides) under uncultured bacterium. Its description in RNAcentral is "partial 16S ribosomal RNA". It matches the Rfam family "Bacterial small subunit ribosomal RNA", at positions 28 to 507 of the family's 1533-position model. The record is from RNAcentral.